CGGAGUUAGCCGGUGCUUCUUCUGCGAGUAACGUCACAGCUGGCAGUUAUUAGCUACCAACCUUUCCUCCUCGCUGAAAGUGCUUUACAACCCGAAGGCCUUCUUCACACACGCGGCAUGGCUGCAUCAGGGUUUCCCCCAUUGUGCAAUAUUCCCCACUGCUGCCUCCCGUAGGAGUCUGGACCGUGUCUCAGUUCCAGUGUGGCUGAUCAUCCUCUCAGACCAGCUAGGGAUCGUCGCCUUGGUGAGCCAUUACCUCACCAACUAGCUAAUCCCACCUGGGUUCAUCCAAUCGCGCAAGGCCCGAAGGUCCCCUGCUUUCCCCCGUAGGGCGUAUGCGGUAUUAGCUACCGUUUCCAGUAGUUAUCCCCCUCGACUGGGCAGAUCCCCAGGCAUUACUCACCCGUCCGCCGCUCGCCGGCAAAAGUAGCAAGCUACUUUCCCGCUGCCGCUCGACUUGCAUGUGUAGGCCUGCCGCCAGCGUUCAAUC
RNAcentral lists this ribosomal RNA (490 nucleotides) under Aeromonas veronii. Its description in RNAcentral is "partial 16S ribosomal RNA". The record is from RNAcentral. Lineage: Bacteria; Pseudomonadati; Pseudomonadota; Gammaproteobacteria; Aeromonadales; Aeromonadaceae.